GGUUGCAAAUUUGAGGCCAUAGCAGAAGCGCUCAUAACACAGCCUGUCAGAUUGUAAUGAAUCUGCAAAUUCUGCU
RNAcentral lists this ribozyme (76 nucleotides) under Crocodylus porosus (Australian saltwater crocodile). RNAcentral describes it as "Mammalian CPEB3 ribozyme (ENSCPRG00005014608.1)". It matches the Rfam family "Mammalian CPEB3 ribozyme". Rfam says of the family: The mammalian CPEB3 ribozyme is a self cleaving RNA located in the second intron of the CPEB3 gene which belongs to a family of genes regulating messenger RNA polyadenylation. This ribozyme is highly conserved and found only in mammals. The record is from RNAcentral. Lineage: Eukaryota; Metazoa; Chordata; Crocodylia; Crocodylidae.